RNAcentral lists this long non-coding RNA (623 nucleotides) under Equus asinus (donkey). Its description in RNAcentral is "lncRNA (ENSEASG00005032357.1)". The record is from RNAcentral. Lineage: Eukaryota; Metazoa; Chordata; Mammalia; Perissodactyla; Equidae.
GUCACAAUGCACUCUUGGUGAACGCCCCCGCGGAGGGCAGGGCAGCCUAAAGGAGAGGAGUCACAGGGCCUUAGCCAGGAGGCUCCAGGUCCUGUUCCUGGGGCAUCACCACUAACGAAGGCUGUGGUCCAAGGCUUCCCACCAAGUCUGGGAAAGGAAAUACAACAUGGCGGCAGGCUAAACGAGGAUCAGGAGUCCCUGUUCGGCCCUUCUCUUGCUUCACCCCCUCCUUGGAAGCAGGGCUUGGAGCUGGUUUCAUGCAACAUUCUUCCUCAGCUGAGAAUGCAGACCCUCCCCCACGACCAGUCCUUAUCAACAGCUGUCCAGGGUCUGGGGCAUAUCAUUAGGUGAAGCCUUGGGGCAGCUGUGCCUCUGGUCCUUGACCCUGCAUUUAUUUUAGAGAUUAAAGACCAGAGGGAGUGGGAAGAGAAGCAGACUCAGAGUCUGCACAUCAUCUCAGCCCCAUUGCACCAGGCGGCAGAGAAAAGCCUGAAAACCAGACGUCCUACUGGCCGCACAGCUCCUGCCUGAGCCUUCCCCCAUUGCGUGCUCGCCACAUUGAAGAGCGAAUAAAAUCGCCAGGUGUUUAACAAUCAUAACAGCUUUUAUUCAGCACUCAUUAU